GGGCACUUAGCUCAAUUGGCAGAGCAGCGGACUCUUAAUCCGGAGGUUACAGGUUCGAUUCCUGUAGUGCCCA
This 73-nucleotide transfer RNA is filed under the name Candidatus Aquicultor primus. Its description in RNAcentral is "Actinobacteria bacterium GWC2_53_9 tRNA-Lys". It matches the Rfam family "tRNA". From Rfam's summary of the family: Transfer RNA (tRNA) molecules are approximately 80 nucleotides in length. Their secondary structure includes four short double-helical elements and three loops (D, anti-codon, and T loops). Lineage: Bacteria; Bacillati; Actinomycetota; Candidatus Aquicultoria; Candidatus Aquicultorales; Candidatus Aquicultoraceae. RNAcentral also lists the same sequence under 2 other names. The record is from RNAcentral.